GCCAAACUACCCUUCGGAGCACGAUAACCUCGGGAAACUGAGGCUAAUAGUGCAUAUCACACUCACUCUGGAGUGAGGAGUGUGUCAAAUGCUCCGGCGCCGAAGGAUGUGGCUGCGGCCGAUUAGGUAGACGGUGGGGUAACGGCCCACCGUGCCGAUAAUCGGUACGGGUCAUGAGAGUGAGAACCCGGAGACGGAAUCUGAGACAAGAUUCCGGGCCCUACGGGGCGCAGCAGGCGCGAAACCUUUACACUGCACGCCAGUGCGAUAAGGGAAUCCCAAGUGCACAGGCAUAGAGCCUGUGCUUUUCUGAACCGUAGGGAGGUUCAGGAACAAGGGCUGGGCAAGACCGGUGCCAGCCGCCGCGGUAAUACCGGCAGCCCAAGUGAUGGCCGAUUUUAUUGGGCCUAAAGCGUCCGUAGCUGGCCGCGCAAGUCUAUCGGGAAAUCUAUCCGCUCAACGGAUAGACGCCCGGUGGAAACUGCGUGGCUUGGGACCGGAAGGCGCGAAGGGUACGUCCGGGGUAGGAGUGAAAUCCUGUAAUCCUGGACGGACCGCCGAUGGCGAAAGCACUUCGCGAGGACGGAUCCGACAGUGAGGGACGAAAGCUAGGGUCUCGAACCGGAUUAGAUACCCGGGUAGUCCUAGCCGUAAACGAUGCCUGUUAGGUGUGGCUCCCACUACGAGUGGGUGCUGUGCCGUAGGGAAGCCGCUAGACAGGCCGCCUGGGAAGUACGUCCGCAAGGAUGAAACUAA
This 756-nucleotide ribosomal RNA is filed under the name uncultured haloarchaeon. Its description in RNAcentral is "bacterial SSU rRNA". It matches the Rfam family "Archaeal small subunit ribosomal RNA", at positions 103 to 858 of the family's 1478-position model. Lineage: Archaea; Methanobacteriati; Methanobacteriota; Halobacteria; Halobacteriales; Halobacteriaceae. The record is from RNAcentral.